GACGAACGCUGGCGGCGUGCUUAACACAUGCAAGUCGAACGGAAAGGCCUUGCUUUUGUGGGGUGCUCGAGUGGGGAACGGGUGUGUAACACGUGAGUAACCUGCCCUUUACUUUGGGAUAACUUCAGGAAACUGGGGCUAAUACCGGAUAUGAGCUCCUUCUGCACGGGGGGGUUUGGAAAGUUUGGGUGGUUGGGGAUGGACUCGCGGCUUAUCAGCUUGUUGGUGGGGUAGUGGCUUACCAAGGCUUUGACGGGUAGCCGGCCUGAGAGGGUGACCGGCCACAUUGGGACUGAGAUACGGCCCAGACUCCUACGGGAGGCAGCAGUGGGGAAUAUUGCACAAUGGGCGGAAGCCUGAUGCAGCGACGCCGCGUGAGGGAUGACGGCCUUCGGGUUGUAAACCGCUUUCGCCUGUGACGAAGCGAGAGUGACGGUAAUGGGUAAAGAAGCACCGGCUAACUACGUG
This 468-nucleotide ribosomal RNA is filed under the name uncultured bacterium. RNAcentral describes it as "partial 16S ribosomal RNA". It matches the Rfam family "Bacterial small subunit ribosomal RNA", at positions 28 to 507 of the family's 1533-position model. The record is from RNAcentral.